This 784-nucleotide long non-coding RNA is filed under the name Cervus hanglu yarkandensis (Yarkand deer). RNAcentral's name for it is "lncRNA (ENSCHYG00000021535.1)". Lineage: Eukaryota; Metazoa; Chordata; Mammalia; Artiodactyla; Cervidae. The record is from RNAcentral.
UCAUAUGCACAGAGCAGCCAGAGAGGCUGAGGAGCAACCGCACAAGCUGUUGCCUCUUCAUGAAGCACCCACCAGGAGAAAUAAUCAGUUUAUGAGAGUGCGGGGAGCCGGCCUGACUGCUCAGGCCCCUUCUCGGCCCUGAGAGAGAUCUAAGAGGUCCCUCUCUAUCCCGCCACCCCUGAUUUAUUAAAGUGCAAAUUGGCCUUUUUCACCUCCCUCAAGGAAAUCGCUGUAGCCACCAUUUGCCCAUUUUCCUGACUCUGAUAAGAUUAUCGGGCUCCUGUGAAUGGCUUAUGUCUAGGUAGUCUUUACCUGAUUGUAAGACGCUGGUGCCAUGCUCUGCUGGAGUUAAGAUAAAACUCCUGAGCUAAAACUAGUGUCUGCAGUUCUGCACGUAUGCAAGUCUUUGAUCUAAAAUUUGGUGAAUCCUGUUAGCAUAUAUAUGUAUGUUACCCCUCAAUAAAGUCGUCGGAAUCAGUCACAAGCUGACUCCGUCCCUCUCAACCCCAUCUUUCCUAGUCUUUUAUUUCUCAGGUACUCUGGUGAUUGCGUCCUUGACCUGUUCCUUUCGCCGGCAGGCCCGGCAAGUGGCGCCAGAACGAGGGACGUGGGCGGACCCCAGCGCACAGCCACCCAAAAAUAUUGAAAGUGAUCCCGGGAGAAAACCUCACCUAUUCAGGAUGCUGAAGCACCGCGCUGGCUCCCGGAAAGGCUGGUACACCAGAUGGAGGAGAUCACUGAAUCAGCAAUUAGGUCGCCUGACUUUACAGCAGAGGAAUCUUCU